AAAGGGGGGGUUUGAAUUGUUUGAAAAAUAAGCGCUUUUCAAAAAUAAAAAUCACACAAUGAUUUUAUACUGGUUCGCUUAUAACACAAAGCUACUCCAGUCCACCCGGCCAAGGUGAUUUCGCCUUCAACAAGGACUUAAUCCACUAAUCUUGAAAGAUUACAAACAACACCUAAGAGAGAAGAAAAUCUCUUAGUCUUCCCAAGUCUACAGACUACACAGAGUCACUUGAGGAAAU
This 238-nucleotide long non-coding RNA is filed under the name Lathyrus oleraceus (garden pea). RNAcentral describes it as "Pisum sativum (pea) long non-coding RNA (PSAT_LNC035211)". Lineage: Eukaryota; Viridiplantae; Streptophyta; Magnoliopsida; Fabales; Fabaceae. The record is from RNAcentral.